Molecule: ribosomal RNA, 904 nt
Filed under: Alternaria preussii
Lineage: Eukaryota; Fungi; Ascomycota; Dothideomycetes; Pleosporales; Pleosporaceae
Description: LSU rRNA
Rfam family: Eukaryotic large subunit ribosomal RNA
Source: RNAcentral
UGCUAUCAAUAAGCGGAGGAAAAGAAACCAACAGGGAUUGCCCUAGUAACGGCGAAGUGAAGCGGCAACAGCUCAAAUUUGAAAUCUGGCUCUUUUAGAGUCCGAGUUGUAAUUUGCAGAGGGCGCUUUGGCUUUGGCAGCGGUCCAAGUUCCUUGGAACAGGACGUCACAGAGGGUGAGAAUCCCGUACGUGGUCGCUGGCUAUUGCCGUGUAAAGCCCCUUCGACGAGUCGAGUUGUUUGGGAAUGCAGCUCUAAAUGGGAGGUACAUUUCUUCUAAAGCUAAAUAUUGGCCAGAGACCGAUAGCGCACAAGUAGAGUGAUCGAAAGAUGAAAAGCACUUUGGAAAGAGAGUCAAACAGCACGUGAAAUUGUUAAAAGGGAAGCGCUUGCAGCCAGACUUGCUUACAGUUGCUCAUCCGGGCUUUUGCCCGGUGCACUCUUCUGUAGGCAGGCCAGCAUCAGUUUGGGCGGUAGGAUAAAGGUCUCUGUCACGUACCUCCUUUCGGGGAGGCCUUAUAGGGGAGACGACAUACUACCAGCCUGGACUGAGGUCCGCGCAUCUGCUAGGAUGCUGGCGUAAUGGCUGUAAGCGGCCCGUCUUGAAACACGGACCAAGGAGUCUAACAUCUAUGCGAGUGUUUGGGUGUCAAGCCCGAGCGCGUAAUGAAAGUGAACGGAGGUGGGAACCCGCAAGGGUGCACCAUCGACCGAUCCUGAUGUCUUCGGAAGGAUUUGAGUAAGAGCAUGGCUGUUGGGACCCGAAAGAUGGUGAACUAUGCUUGAAUAGGGUGAAGCCAGAGGAAACUCUGGUGGAGGCUCGCAGCGGUUCUGACGUGCAAAUCGAUCGUCAAAUUUGGGCAUAGGGGCGAAAGACUAAUCGAACUAUCUAGUAGCUGGUCUGC